ACGUAGGUGGCAAGCGUUAUCCGGAUUUAUUGGGUUUAAAGGGUGCGUAGGCGGCUUGAUAAGUCAGUGGUUAAAGGUAGCAGCUUAACUGUUUUACAUGCCACUGAUACUGCCAAGCUUGAGUUGACAGAAGGCAGAUAGAAUUUCUGGUGUAGCGGUGAAAUGCUUAGAUACCAGAAGGAAUACCGAUUGCGAAGGCAGUCUGCUGCAGUCACACUGACGCUGAGGCACGAAAGUGCGGGGAUCAAACAGGAUUAGAUACCCUGGUAGUCCGCACAGUAAACGAUGAUUACUAGAUGUUGGCCAUGCCAGUGUCCAGGGGAAACCGAUAAGUAAUCCACCCUGGGGAGUACGCCGGCAACCGGUGAAACUCAAAGGAAUUGACGGGGGUCCGCCACCAAGCCGGUGGAGCAUGUGGUUUAAUUCGAUGAUACGCGAGGAACCUUACCUGGACUAGAAUGUGCGAGAAGGGCUCAGAAAUGGGUCUGCCAGCAAUGGCUCAAAACAAGGUGCUGCAUGGCUGUCGUCAGUUUCGUGCCGUGAGGUGUUGGGUUAAGUCCCGCAACGAACGCAACCCCUGUUGUCUGUUGCCAGCGAGUAAUGUCGGGGACUCAGACAAGACUGCCUACGCAAGUAGAGAGGAAGGAGGGGACGACGUCAAGUCAUCAUGGCCCUUACGUCCAGGGCAACACACGUGCUACAAUGGUCGUUACAGAGUGUUGCAAGCCAGCGAUGGCAAGCCAAUCACAAAAAGACGAUCACAGUUCGGAUCGGAGUCUGCAACUCGACUCCGUGAAGCUGGAAUCGUCUAGUAAUCGGAUAUCAGCUAUGAUCCGGUGAAUACGUUCCC
Molecule: ribosomal RNA, 850 nt
Filed under: uncultured Sphingobacterium sp.
Lineage: Bacteria; Pseudomonadati; Bacteroidota; Sphingobacteriia; Sphingobacteriales; Sphingobacteriaceae
Description: bacterial SSU rRNA
Rfam family: Bacterial small subunit ribosomal RNA
Source: RNAcentral